RNAcentral lists this ribosomal RNA (473 nucleotides) under uncultured bacterium. Its description in RNAcentral is "bacterial SSU rRNA". It matches the Rfam family "Bacterial small subunit ribosomal RNA", at positions 47 to 507 of the family's 1533-position model. The record is from RNAcentral.
CUUAACACAUGCAAGUCGAACGGCAGCAUGGGGUGCUUGCACCCUGAUGGCGAGUGGCGGACGGGUGAGUAAUGCUUGGGAAUCUGCCUAGUAGUGGGGACAACCCGGGAAACCCGGGCUAAUACCGCAUACGCCCUACGGGGAAAGCCGGGGGAUCUUCGGACCUCGCGCUAUUAGAUGAGCCCAAGUCGGAUUAGCUUGUUGGUGAGGUAAUGGCUCACCAAGGCGACGAUCCGUAGCUGGUCUGAGAGGAUGACCAGCCACACUGGAACUGAGACACGGUCCAGACUCCGUACGGGAGGCAGCAGGUGGGGAAUAUUGCACAAGUGGGCGCAAGCCUGAUGCAGCCAUGCCGCGUGUGUGAAGAAGGCCGUUAGGGUUAGUAAAGCUACUUUCAGCAGUGAGGAAAGGGGUGUCGUUAAUAGCGCCAUCCUGUGACGUUAACUGCAGAAGAAGGACCGGCUAACUCCGUG